RNAcentral lists this ribosomal RNA (253 nucleotides) under uncultured bacterium. Its description in RNAcentral is "partial 16S ribosomal RNA". It matches the Rfam family "Bacterial small subunit ribosomal RNA", at positions 524 to 776 of the family's 1533-position model. The record is from RNAcentral.
UACGGAGGGUCCAAGCGUUAUCCGGAUUCAUUGGGCGUAAAGGGUGCGUAGGCGGCGCGGUGAGUCGGGUGUGAAAUCUCGGGGCUUAACUCCGAAACUGCAUUCGAUACUGCCGUGCUUGAGGACUGGAGAGGAGACUGGAAUUUACGGUGUAGCGGUGAAAUGCGUAGAUAUCGUAAGGAAGACCAGUGGCGAAGGCGGGUCUCUGGACAGUUCCUGACGCUGAGGCACGAAGGUCAGGGGAGCAAACGGG